RNAcentral lists this unclassified non-coding RNA (291 nucleotides) under Hevea brasiliensis (rubber tree). The record is from RNAcentral. Lineage: Eukaryota; Viridiplantae; Streptophyta; Magnoliopsida; Malpighiales; Euphorbiaceae.
GUUAUAUAUAUAUAUAUGAUAUAAUUUUCCUUUGCAAUGAAUGUCAAGCUAUGGUGAGCUCACAAAUAGAAUCUCUAGAACUAGUUAGUUACUGUGUACACGAGCAAAUAAAGUCUUUCCUGCUUAAAUAAUUUUUAUACCAACUUCAAUCAUAUCAUGAUAUGCAAAAUCUUUUUUGCACUCAAGUUCAUAUGCAUUAGUUAUGUCAAGUACUUGAUUAAAUAUCUAUGGCUUCUGUUCUUGACAUCUUAAAUGAUUUUAAACUUGCAGUUUGGUUAUAUUGUGUUGACA